This 253-nucleotide unclassified non-coding RNA is filed under the name uncultured Parcubacteria group bacterium. RNAcentral describes it as "contains 16S-23S intergenic spacer region". It matches the Rfam family "Bacterial small subunit ribosomal RNA", at positions 524 to 776 of the family's 1533-position model. The record is from RNAcentral.
UACAGAGACCUCGAGCGUUAUCCGGAUUUAUUGGGCGUAAAGCGCAGGUAGGCGGUUUGAUUGGUCAGAUGUUAAAGCCCGGGGCUCACCCCCGGAAUCGCAUUUGAAACGGUCAGGCUAGAGAAUGUGAGAGAUCAGUGGAAUUCAUGGUGUAGUAGUGAAAUGCGUUGAUAUCAUGAGGAACACCAAAGGCGAAGGCAGCUGAUUGGCACAUUUCUGACGCUGAGCUGCGAAAGCGUGGGGAGCGAAUGGG